Molecule: ribosomal RNA, 22 nt
Filed under: Cortinarius traganus
Lineage: Eukaryota; Fungi; Basidiomycota; Agaricomycetes; Agaricales; Cortinariaceae
Also listed under: 2 other names
Description: partial 28S ribosomal RNA
Source: RNAcentral
UCAGGUAGGACUACCCGCUGAA